GAAUCCUCCUGAAGCACAGGAGGAUGUGUGGUAUUUUUCUUAUCAGUUUAAUAUCUGAUAAUAUCCUCAAUGAGAGGACUUUAUAUUAAACAGAUUUGUGGGUCUGUGAGUUGGACCCGGAGCUUGCUCUCAGUCUUUUUUUUUUUAUUUAUUUUUUUUGGGCAUUGGAAUGGCCCAGGACAGUGGUGGAGUCACC
Molecule: non-coding RNA, 196 nt
Organism: Calypte anna (Anna's hummingbird)
Lineage: Eukaryota; Metazoa; Chordata; Aves; Apodiformes; Trochilidae
Source: Rfam